CCUACGGGAGGCAGCAGUGGGGAAUUUUGGACAAUGGGGGAAACCCUGAUCCAGCAAUGCCGCGUGUGUGAAGAAGGCCUUCGGGUUGUAAAGCACUUUUGGCGGGAACGAAACGGCGCUGGUUAAUACCUGGCGCUAAUGACGGUACCCGCAGAAUAAGCACCGGCUAACUACGUGCCAGCAGCCGCGGUAAUACGUAGGGUGCAAGCGUUAAUCGGAAUUACUGGGCGUAAAGCGUGCGCAGGCGGUUUUGUAAGACGGAUGUGAAAUCCCCGGGCUCAACCUGGGAACUGCAUUCGUGACUGCAAGGCUAGAGUAUGUCAGAGGGAGGUGGAAUUCCGCGUGUAGCAGUGAAAUGCGUAGAGAUGCGGAGGAACACCGAUGGCGAAGGCAGCCUCCCGGGAUAAUACUGACGCUCAUGCACGAAAGCGUGGGGAGCAAACAGGAUUAGAUACCCUGGUAGUCCACGCCCUAAACGAUGUCAACUAGUUGUCGGGUCUUAAUUGACUUGGUAACGCAGCUAACGCGUGAAGUUGACCGCCUGGGGAGUACGGCCGCAAGGUUAAAACUCAAAUGAAUUGACGG
This 585-nucleotide ribosomal RNA is filed under the name uncultured bacterium. RNAcentral's name for it is "bacterial SSU rRNA". It matches the Rfam family "Bacterial small subunit ribosomal RNA", at positions 338 to 916 of the family's 1533-position model. The record is from RNAcentral.